Molecule: ribosomal RNA, 58 nt
Filed under: Gymnodinium catenatum
Lineage: Eukaryota; Dinophyceae; Gymnodiniales; Gymnodiniaceae
Description: partial Eukaryotic large subunit ribosomal RNA
Source: RNAcentral
AUGGUCAUGGUAUAUGUAGAUAUAGUAAUGGGGAGUUUGGCUGGGGCGGCACAUCUGU